Molecule: unclassified non-coding RNA, 253 nt
Filed under: uncultured Cellvibrionales bacterium
Lineage: Bacteria; Pseudomonadati; Pseudomonadota; Gammaproteobacteria; Cellvibrionales
Description: contains 16S-23S intergenic spacer region
Rfam family: Bacterial small subunit ribosomal RNA
Source: RNAcentral
UACGGAGGGUGCAAGCGUUAAUCGGAAUUACUGGGCGUAAAGCGCACGUAGGCGGCCAUUUAAGUUAGAUGUGAAAGCCCCGGGCUUAACCUGGGAAUUGCAUUUAAAACUGGAUGGCUAGAGUACAGCAGAGGGUGGUGGAAUUUCAGGUGUAGCGGUGAAAUGCGUAGAGAUCUGAAGGAACAUCAGUGGCGAAGGCGACCGCCUGGGCUGAUACUGACGCUGAGGUGCGAAAGCGUGGGGAGCAAACAGG